AGAGAGAGACAUGCGCGCAUAUCAAUAAGCGGAGGAAAAGAAACUAACAAGGAUUCCCUUAGUAACGGCGAGUGAAGCGGGAAGAGCUCAAAUUUGAAAUCUUCAAGGUUUUACCUUGACGAAUUGUAGUUUAAAGAAGUGUUUUCUGUUGAAGUUUUGGUAAAAGUUCUUUGGAAUAGGACAUCAUAGAGGGUGAGAAUCCCGUAUUUGACCAUUAUUUCAGCUUUGUGAUACACUUUCAAAGAGUCGGAUUGUUUGGGAAUGCAGUCCAAAAUGGGUGGUAAAUUUCAUCUAAAGCUAAAUAUUGGCGAGAGACCGAUAGCGAACAAGUACCGUGAGGGAAAGAUGAAAAGAACUUUGAAAAGAGAGUUAAACAGUACGUGAAAUUGUCAAAAGGGAAGCGUUUGACACCAGUGUUGUUUUCUCGAAAAUCAAUUAAAAAUGGCUCGAUUUUGUAUUGUUGAGACCUUAAAAACUCACUGUACAUUUUUCGUGUCUUUUUUAAUGCACUUUUCGUUUAACAAGUCAACAUCAGUUUCUUUUGUUGUAAAAGGGUCAUUGGAAGGUGGCUUUCUUUUCGGAGAAAGUGUUUAUAGCCUUUGGCCUCUGCAAUCGGAGAGACUGAGGUCUGCAGCGUAGACUCUUCGGGGUUAGAUACAUUUGUGCUAAGUUAUAGCUUUUUAUAGACAACUUGUUGACUAUAAUUAGUCUUGUAGCUUACUCGCUUAUGCUAUUUUACCUACGCUUAGGAUGUUGAAGAUGUAGCACAUCAU
Molecule: ribosomal RNA, 773 nt
Filed under: uncultured Neocallimastigales
Lineage: Eukaryota; Fungi; Neocallimastigomycota; Neocallimastigomycetes; Neocallimastigales
Description: partial large subunit ribosomal RNA
Rfam family: Eukaryotic large subunit ribosomal RNA
Source: RNAcentral